CUGUGCGUGCCUGCGUGGUGUCUUUGAGGCUAUUUCCUCUAGCAUCUGGCAUCUUUGCUACGAACUAGAUGGAGAAAUUGACCUUUAACAGAAAUUAACAAGAAAAAUCUGAGGUUCAGAAAGUGGUCCUCUCACCCCGGAGUACAAUGGCUCAGAUACCAUCUUCACGGCUUGCAGUCCCCCUGAGGCACAAAGGUGGAACUGCUCGUGGUCUCCUGGAGUCAGGGUUUGGGUGGAUUCCUCAAGUUCUCGAGGUCCCUGAAAUGUGUUCGGAUUCCUUCCUUGCCAUCUUUCAGGAAAGCAGUCUUUGUUUCUGACCUGAAAAGAUUGCCAUGAGCCAUGCGACAAAUCAAGGAUGAACAAAUGGAAUCUGGAGCAAGAUAAGGGUUCGGGCCAACAGACGCCCACACAUACCUAAGUCUGGGUAGUCACAUUCCCCCAGGAAGCUGGCACCACAUUUACCUGUUAAUCAAUACGUAACUUUUUUUCCCCUCCUA
Artibeus jamaicensis (Jamaican fruit-eating bat) is the source of this 497-nucleotide long non-coding RNA. RefSeq lists it as uncharacterized. NCBI's taxonomy places the organism in Eukaryota, Metazoa, Chordata, Mammalia, Chiroptera, Phyllostomidae. The record is from RefSeq and is a predicted model, not a curated record. The transcript has 4 exons.